RNAcentral lists this ribosomal RNA (499 nucleotides) under uncultured bacterium. RNAcentral describes it as "bacterial SSU rRNA". It matches the Rfam family "Bacterial small subunit ribosomal RNA", at positions 28 to 513 of the family's 1533-position model. The record is from RNAcentral.
GAUGAACGCUAGCGACAGGCUUAACACAUGCAAGUCGAGGGGCAGCAUGAUCUGUAGCAAUACAGAUUGAUGGCGACCGGCGCACGGGUGAGUAACGCGUAUGCAACUUACCCAUCAGAGGGGGAUAGCCCGGCGAAAGUCGGAUUAAUACCCCAUAAAACAGGGGUCCCGCAUGGGAAUAUUUGUUAAAGAUUCAUCGCUGAUAGAUAGGCAUGCGUUCCAUUAGGCAGUUGGCGGGGUAACGGCCCACCAAACCGACGAUGGGUAGGGGUUCUGAGAGGAAGGUCCCCCACAUUGGAACUGAGACACGGUCCAAACUCCUACGGGAGGCAGCAGUGAGGAAUAUUGGGUCAAUGGGCGCGAGCCUGAGCCAGCCAAGUAGCGUGGGAGGACGGCGGCCCUACGGGUUGUAAACUCCUUUUAUAAGGGGNUAAAGUUGGCCAUGUAUGGCCAUUUGCAGGUACCUUAUGAAUAAGCAUCGGCUAAUUCCGUGCCAGCA